AGCAGCUGCCCCUGCACCCAGGGAUAGGAUAGCGGUUCACUUGGAAGCCCCCUUUUCUAUCCCUGGUACUGGCGCCGCUGCU
This is a microRNA precursor of Monodelphis domestica (gray short-tailed opossum), 82 nucleotides long. Ensembl annotates it as mdo-mir-1544a. Lineage: Eukaryota; Metazoa; Chordata; Mammalia; Didelphimorphia; Didelphidae. The record is from Ensembl.